Molecule: ribosomal RNA, 253 nt
Filed under: uncultured bacterium
Lineage: Bacteria
Description: partial 16S ribosomal RNA
Rfam family: Bacterial small subunit ribosomal RNA
Source: RNAcentral
UACGUAGGGUGCGAGCGUUGUCCGGAAUUAUUGGGCGUAAAGAGCUUGUAGGCGGUUUGUCGCGUCUGCCGUGAAAAUUCGAGGCUCAACCUCGAACUUGCGGUGGGUACGGGCAGACUAGAGUGUGGUAGGGGAGACUGGAAUUCCUGGUGUAGCGGUGAAAUGCGCAGAUAUCAGGAGGAACACCGAUGGCGAAGGCAGCUCUCUGGGACGGUACUGACGCUGAGACGCGAAAGCGUGGGGAGCGAACAGG